CCUACGGGUGGCAGCAGUGGGGAAUAUUGCACAAUGGGGGAAACCCUGAUGCAGCGACGCCGCGUGAGUGAAGAAGUAUUUCGGUAUGUAAAGCUCUGUCAGCAGGGAAGAAAAUGCCGGUACCUGACCAAGAAGCCCCGGCUAACUACGUGCCAGCAGCCGCGGUAAUACGUAGGGGGCAAGCGUUAUCCGGAUUUUCUGGGGGUAAAGGGAGCGUAGACGGCAGGGCAAGUCUGGAGUGAAAGGCUGGGGCUCAACCCCCGGACUGCGGUGGAAACUGCCUGGCUGGAGUGCAGGAGAGGUAAGUGGAAUUCCUAGUGUAGCGGUGAAAUGCGUAGAUAUUAGGAGGAACACCAGUGGCGAAGGCGGCUUACUGGACUGUAACUGACGUUGAGGCUCGAAAGCGUGGGGAGCAAACAGGAUUAGAUACCCGGGUAGUC
RNAcentral lists this ribosomal RNA (440 nucleotides) under uncultured bacterium. RNAcentral describes it as "partial 16S ribosomal RNA". It matches the Rfam family "Bacterial small subunit ribosomal RNA", at positions 338 to 795 of the family's 1533-position model. The record is from RNAcentral.